RNAcentral lists this RNase P RNA (344 nucleotides) under human gut metagenome. Its description in RNAcentral is "Bacterial RNase P class A". It matches the Rfam family "Bacterial RNase P class A". From Rfam's summary of the family: Ribonuclease P (RNase P) is a ubiquitous endoribonuclease, found in archaea, bacteria and eukarya as well as chloroplasts and mitochondria. Its best characterised activity is the generation of mature 5'-ends of tRNAs by cleaving the 5'-leader elements of precursor-tRNAs. The record is from RNAcentral.
GUAAGCUGGACAGCCGCGCGGGCGGGGCGAAAGGCCUGCACGUGAGGAAAGUCCGGGCUCCAUAGGGCAAGGAUAACGGGUAACACCCGCCGGGGGCGACCCCAGGAAAAGUGCAACAGAGAUAAACCGCCGCGCACCGGCGCGGUAAGGGUGGAAAGAUGGAGGUAAGAGACCAUCCGACGGCGUGGAAGCGUCCGUCGCUGUAAACUCUAUCCGGAGCAACGCCGUGGAGGAGCAUGUGGUUGGCCCGACCGCUCCGAGGAGGCGGCUGGAGCACGCCGGCAACAGCGUGCCUAGAUAGAUGGCUGUCUUAAAGGACAGAACCCGGCUUACAGGCUUGCUUG